UGUUUCGACACACUAUCAUUAACUGAAUCCAUAGGUUAAUGAGGCGAACCGGGGGAACUGAAACAUCUAAGUACCCCGAGGAAAAGAAAUCAACCGAGAUUCCCCCAGUAGCGGCGAGCGAACGGGGAGGAGCCCAGAGCCUGAAUCAGUGUGUGUGUUAGUGGAAGCGUCUGGAAAGGCGCGCGAUACAGGGUGACAGCCCCGUACACAAAAAUGCACAUAUUGUGAGCUCGAUGAGUAGGGCGGGACACGUGGUAUCCUGUCUGAAUAUGGGGGGACCAUCCUCCAAGGCUAAAUAC
This 299-nucleotide ribosomal RNA is filed under the name Escherichia coli. RNAcentral's name for it is "partial 23S ribosomal RNA". It matches the Rfam family "Bacterial large subunit ribosomal RNA", at positions 136 to 473 of the family's 2925-position model. Lineage: Bacteria; Pseudomonadati; Pseudomonadota; Gammaproteobacteria; Enterobacterales; Enterobacteriaceae. The record is from RNAcentral.